AGUCUGGUGCCAGCAGCCGCGGUAAUUCCAGCUCCAAGAGCGAGCACCAUUUCUGCUGCAGUUAAAAAGCUCGUAGUUGAACUUUUGGGUCUUGUUUGUUAGCGUUGGUUUUAAUUAAUUAGCGAUCUUUCAAACGGGCUCUUUCGUAGGAUCCGCUUGCUUACGCAUUCAUUUGUGUCUGUAGGCCCCUACCGUUUACUGUGAGGAAAUCUACGCGCUCAACGCCUUUUUUUGAAAGAAAAGUUCAGCACGGAAUGAUAAGAUACGAUACACGAUGUCUUGUUGGUUUACAUUGUAUAUAAUGAUGAAUAGAAACAGGUGGGGCAAUUUGUAUCACUGCGUCAGAGGUGAAAUUCUUGGAUCGCACUGAUACAAUCGACAGCGAAGGCAUUUUGCAAGGAUGUUUUCAUUAAUCAAGAACGUUAGUUAGGGGAUCGAAGAUGAUUAGAUACCGUUGUAGUCCUAACCGUAAACGAUGCCGACUGCCAAUUGUUGAGGAUUAUUUUUAGUCUUCAGCAGCGGGCGAGAGAAAUCGAAGUCUUUGGGUUCUGGGGGGAGUAUGAGCGCAAGCUUGAAACUUAAAGGAAUUGACGGAAGGGCACACCAGAGGUGGAGCUUGCGGCUUAAUUUGACCCAACACGGGAAAACUUACCAGGGUCGGACUUUUGCAGGAUUGACAGAUUAAUAGCUCUUUCAUGAUUAAAAGGGUGGUGGUGCAUGGCCGUUCGUAGUUGGUGGAGUGAUUUGUCUGGUUAAUUCCGUUAACGAACGAGACCACGUUUGUAUAAUAGGACCGUCGUCUUACGACGAACGAAACCUUCUUUACAAGACUUUCCGCUUCCAGCGGGAGGAAGUUCGUGGCAAUAACAGGUCUGUGAUGCCCUUAGAUAGCCUGGGCCGCACGCGUGCUACAAUGGAGGCGUCAAUAGGUAUACUGUGCUCGACCGGAAGGUCUUGCUAAUCCCAAAUUGCCUUCGUGAUGGGGCUUGAUCUUUGAAAUUAUGGAUCAUAAACGAGGAAUCUCUAGUAAGGGUGUGUCAUCAGCGCAUCCUGAUUACGUCCCUGCCCUUUGUACACACCGCCCGUCGCACCUACCGAUGAAAAAUUAAACGAGGUCUCGGGACCCGGUCUUUUCUCGGGUCAAACCGCG
This 1150-nucleotide ribosomal RNA is filed under the name metagenome. RNAcentral's name for it is "bacterial SSU rRNA". It matches the Rfam family "Eukaryotic small subunit ribosomal RNA", at positions 558 to 1739 of the family's 1831-position model. The record is from RNAcentral.